GGGAAAGUGGCUCAGUGGUAGAGUGCUUGCCUUGCAUGCAUGAAGCCCUGGGUUCGAUUCCUCAGCACCA
This is a non-coding RNA of Dipodomys ordii (Ord's kangaroo rat), 70 nucleotides long. The record is from Rfam. Lineage: Eukaryota; Metazoa; Chordata; Mammalia; Rodentia; Heteromyidae.